AGAACGAACGCUGGCGGCAUGCCUAACACAUGCAAGUCGAACGAGACCUUCGGGUCUAGUGGCGCACGGGUGCGUAACGCGUGGGAAUCUGCCCUUGGGUUCGGAAUAACAGCGAGAAAUUGCUGCUAAUACCGGAUGAUGACGUAAGUCCAAAGAUUUAUCGCCCAAGGAUGAGCCCGCGUAGGAUUAGCUUGUUGGUGAGGUAAGAGCUCACCGAAGGCGACGUAUCCUUAGCUGGUCUGAGAGGAUGAUCAGCCACGACUGGGACUGGAGACACCGGCCCAGACCGUCCGUACGGGAGCAGCGAGGUGGGAAUAGUGGAACAGUGGGACGAAGCCUAGACU
This 344-nucleotide ribosomal RNA is filed under the name uncultured soil bacterium. Its description in RNAcentral is "bacterial SSU rRNA". It matches the Rfam family "Bacterial small subunit ribosomal RNA", at positions 26 to 389 of the family's 1533-position model. The record is from RNAcentral.